AAGGAUGUUCAACGGGAUGUGCUGGCGGCCUAAACGCCGCAUGUGCACUCCCUUAACCAACCUCACACACCUGUGAACCUCGGACCUCGUCUGCCUCUGUUUGGAGGUGGGCUUGUGUUCUUACCAUACAAAACCCAGUCGAGUUAGCUCUGGAAUGCGUGUUGUAAUUAAAAA
RNAcentral lists this unclassified non-coding RNA (174 nucleotides) under uncultured Tulasnellaceae. RNAcentral describes it as "sequence contains ITS1". The record is from RNAcentral. Lineage: Eukaryota; Fungi; Basidiomycota; Agaricomycetes; Cantharellales; Tulasnellaceae.